UGGACGAAGCUUUUUUCUUACCAAGAGCUGGGUCAGCACAUUCUUUGUACAGCUCGGGGGUGCAGUAGGGAGCAUCGCCUGCAGCCAAAGUAACACACACUCACAGUACAGUCAUUUUACACAACAUCGCUGAUGUAACUCUGAUACAACACACAGAAACAAACGUCUGAAACCCGGGCGCCACUCCAAACCCAAGCUGGUCAAUGAAGGACGGCUCGUCCUGACUGUGGAUCUGAACUUUGACCCCAGCUUCAAAUGAAGUCUCAUCUGCAGGAAGUCAAAGAAUGUUGAAUCAGAGCAACACAUCGGGAAAAUGCGUCUCACUAAUGAAUCCAGACACUUAGCAGAGCUUUGUCUCUUGAGUUCCACACUCUACAUUAACACCUGCCCAAACACACUG
Perca flavescens (yellow perch) is the source of this 400-nucleotide long non-coding RNA. RefSeq lists it as uncharacterized. The record is from RefSeq and is a predicted model, not a curated record. The transcript has 2 exons. NCBI's taxonomy places the organism in Eukaryota, Metazoa, Chordata, Actinopteri, Perciformes, Percidae.